Molecule: long non-coding RNA, 131 nt
Organism: Aquila chrysaetos chrysaetos
Lineage: Eukaryota; Metazoa; Chordata; Aves; Accipitriformes; Accipitridae
Exons: 3
Source: RefSeq, a predicted model, not a curated record
GAGGAGUUACCUCAGGCGGUGCCCCGACCCGAGGGGGAGAGCCUCAGCAAGGAUGACCAGCUGCUGGAGGGCACCAAGACGCUGGGUGACUAUGGCUUCACCAGCCAGACCGCCUGCCCCCAGGCCCCUGC